CCCUUAGAUGUUCUGGGCCGCACGCGCGCUACACUGACACAUGCAUCGAGCAUAACCUUGGGAGGUAUCCCUAGGUAAACUUUUCAACGUGUGUCGUGAUAGGGAUAGAUGGUUGCAAUUUUCCAUCUUAAACGAGGAAUUCCUAGUAAACGCAAGUCAUCAACUUGCAUUGAUUUCGUCCCUGCCCUUUGUACACACCGCCCGUCGCUACUACCGAUUGAAUGGCUUAGUGAGCACCACGGAUCUUCCCGAGUUGGGGCAACCCUCUCGGUGUGGAGAAGUGGGACAAACUUGAUCAUUUAGAGGAAGUAAAAGUCGUAACA
This 323-nucleotide ribosomal RNA is filed under the name uncultured eukaryote. Its description in RNAcentral is "partial 18S ribosomal RNA". It matches the Rfam family "Eukaryotic small subunit ribosomal RNA", at positions 1470 to 1796 of the family's 1831-position model. The record is from RNAcentral.